This 494-nucleotide ribosomal RNA is filed under the name uncultured bacterium. RNAcentral describes it as "partial 16S ribosomal RNA". It matches the Rfam family "Bacterial small subunit ribosomal RNA", at positions 28 to 507 of the family's 1533-position model. The record is from RNAcentral.
GAUGAACGCUGGCGGCGUGCCUAAUACAUGCAAGUAGAACGCUGAAGGAGGAGCUUGCUCUUCUGGAUGAGUUGCGAACGGGUGAGUAACGCGUAGGUAACCUGCCUGGUAGCGGGGGAUAACUAUUGGAAACGAUAGCUAAUACCGCAUGACAUCAGAUAUUGCAUGAUAACUGUUUAAAAGGGGCAACUGCUCCACUACCAGAUGGACCGGCGUUGUUUUAGCUAGUUGGUGGGGUAACGGCUCACCAAGGCGACGAUACAUGGCCGGCCUGAGAGGGGGAUCGGCAAAACUGGAAUUAGAACAGGGUCCGACUUCCUAGGGGAGGAAGCGGAGGGGAAUUUUGGCAAUUGGCCGAAAGCCUGCCGCGGACAUCCCGGUGAGUGAAGAAAGGUUUUGGGGUGGUAAAGCCUGUUGUUUGGGAAGGAAGAGUGUGAGGGUGGAAAGUUCACGCUGUGACGGUAUCUAACCAGAAAGCGACGGCUAACUUCGUG